RNAcentral lists this ribosomal RNA (604 nucleotides) under uncultured fungus. RNAcentral describes it as "eukaryotic LSU rRNA". It matches the Rfam family "Eukaryotic large subunit ribosomal RNA", at positions 23 to 641 of the family's 3401-position model. The record is from RNAcentral. Lineage: Eukaryota; Fungi.
ACCCGCUGAACUUAAGCAUAUCAAUAAGCGGAGGAAAAGAAACCAACAGGGAUUGCCUUAGUAACUGCGAGUGAAGCGGCAAAAGCUCAAAUUUGAAAUCUGGUGCCUUCGGCGCCCGAGUUGUAAUUUGGAGAGACAUCUUCGGAGUAGACGCCGUCCUAAGUUCCUUGGAACAGGACGUCACAGAGGGUGAGAAUCCCGUGCCUGGAUGGCUGUUCUACUUCAUGUGAAGUGUCUUCGACGAGUCGAGUUGUUUGGGAAUGCAGCUCAAAAUGGGAGGUAAAUUUCUUCUAAAGCUAAAUAUUGGCGAGAGACCGAUAGCGCACAAGUAGAGUGAUCGAAAGAUGAAAAGCACUUUGAAAAGAGAGUUAAAAAGUACGUGAAAUUGUUGAAAGGGAAGCGCUUGAGACCAGACUCGACCAGUGGUGAUCAGCGGUGCUUCUGUGCCGUGCACUUGCCAUUGGUUGGGCCAGCAUCGGUUUGGACGGCGGGAUAAAGACCUAAGGAAUGUGGCUCCCUCCGGGGAGUGUUAUAGCCUUGAGUGCAAUGCCGCCAGUCUGGACCGUGGACCGCGCUUCGGCUAGGAUGCUGGCGUAAUGGUCUU